RNAcentral lists this small RNA (127 nucleotides) under Marmota monax (woodchuck). The record is from RNAcentral. Lineage: Eukaryota; Metazoa; Chordata; Mammalia; Rodentia; Sciuridae.
GCUGGGCAAGGUGGCACAUGCCUGUAAUCCCAGGGACUCUGGAGGCUGAGGCAGGAGGAUAUCAAGUUCAAAACCAGUCUGAGCAGUUUAGCAAGGCCCUAGGCAACUUAGUGACAUCUUGUCUCUA